GAAAUGCGAUAAGUAGUGUGAAUUGCAGAAUUCAGUGAAUCAUCGAAUCUUUGAACGCACAUUGCGCCCUUUGGUAUUCCUUAGGGCAUGCCUGUUCGAGCGUCAUCUAAACCUUCAAGCCCUGCUUGGUGUUGGGUGCCUGUCCCGCCUCCGCGCGCGGACUCACCUCAAAUCCAUUGGCGGCCCCCGCGUCGACCACGAGCGCAGCAGAAACGCGAACUCGUGAGCCCGUCCGGGCGGCUCCCAGAAGCUACACCCACCCAGUUUGACCUCGGAUCAGGUAGGGAUACCCGCUGAACUUAAGC
This 305-nucleotide unclassified non-coding RNA is filed under the name plant metagenome. Its description in RNAcentral is "partial contains 5.8S ribosomal RNA, internal transcribed spacer 2, and large subunit ribosomal RNA". The stretch from base 1 to 105 matches the Rfam family "5.8S ribosomal RNA", at positions 50 to 154 of the family's 154-position model. The record is from RNAcentral.